CUACGGGAUGCACCAGUGAGGAAUAUUGCACAAUGGGGGGAACCCUGAUGCAGCAACGCCGCGUGGAGGAUGACGCAUUUCGGUGUGUAAACUCCUUUUAUAUGUCAAGAAAAUGACGGUAGCAUAUGAAUAAGCACCGGCUAACUCCGUGCCAGCAGCCGCGGUAAUACGGAGGGUGCAAGCGUUACUCGGAAUCACUGGGCGUAAAGGACGCGUAGGCGGGUUGGAAAGUCAGGUGUGAAAUCCUACAGCUUAACUGUAGAACUGCGCUUGAAACUUCUAAUCUAGAGUAUGGGAGGGGGAGAUGGAGUUAGUGGUGUAGGGGUAAAAUCCGUAGAUAUCACUAGGAAUACCUAAAGCGAAGGCGAUCUCCUGGAACAUUACUGACGCUAAGGCGUGAAAGCGUGGGGAGCAAACAGGAUUAGAUACCCCGGUAGUC
RNAcentral lists this ribosomal RNA (439 nucleotides) under uncultured bacterium. RNAcentral's name for it is "partial 16S ribosomal RNA". It matches the Rfam family "Bacterial small subunit ribosomal RNA", at positions 339 to 795 of the family's 1533-position model. The record is from RNAcentral.